This 253-nucleotide ribosomal RNA is filed under the name uncultured bacterium. RNAcentral describes it as "partial 16S ribosomal RNA". It matches the Rfam family "Bacterial small subunit ribosomal RNA", at positions 524 to 776 of the family's 1533-position model. The record is from RNAcentral.
UACGAACUGUGCGAACGUUAUUCGGAAUCACUGGGCUUACAGGGUGCGUAAGCGGCUUUUCAAGUCAGGUGUGAAAGCCCCCGGCUCAACCGGGGAACUGCGCUUGAAACUGAAAGGCUCGAGUCAGCUAGAGGUACACGGAACUUCCAGUGGAGCGGUGAAAUGUGUUGAUAUUGGAAGGAACACCGGAGGCGAAAGCGGUGUACUGGGGCUGGUCUGACGCUGAGGCACGAAAGCCAGGGGAGCGAACGGG